RNAcentral lists this ribosomal RNA (484 nucleotides) under uncultured bacterium. Its description in RNAcentral is "partial 16S ribosomal RNA". It matches the Rfam family "Bacterial small subunit ribosomal RNA", at positions 30 to 507 of the family's 1533-position model. The record is from RNAcentral.
AUUGAACGCUGGCGGCAGGCCUAACACAUGCCAGUCGAGCGGAUGAAGGGAGCUUGCUCCUGGAUUCAGCGGCGGACGGGUGAGUAAUGCCUAGGAAUCUGCCUGGUUGUGGGGGAUAACGUCCGGAAACGGGCGCUAAUACCGCAUACGUCCUGAGGGAGAAAGUGGGGGAUCUUCGGACCUCACGCUCUCAGAUGAGCCUAGGUCGGAUUAGCUAGUUGGUGGGGUAAAGGCCUACCAAGGCGACGAUCCGUAACUGGUCUGAGAGGAUGAUCAGUCACACUGGAACUGAGACACGGUCCAGACUCCUACGGGAGGCAGCAGUGGGGAAUAUUGGACAAUGGGCGAAAGCCUGAUCCAGCCAUGCCGCGUGUGUGAAGAAGGUCUUCGGAUUGUAAAGCACUUUAAGUUGGGAGGAAGGGCAGUAAGUUAAUACCUUGCUGUUUUGACGUUACCAACAGAAUAAGCACCGGCUAACUUCGUG